CACUGUCCUUUCUUGGAUUUUCUGCCUUUGUGCCAGAUGUUUUUCUAUUUGCACCAUCACCUGUAAGAUGGAUGAGGUAUAAACAUGGAACAGUCAAGCUUUCCCCAGCUUAAUGCUAAAGUGAAAGAUUUUCUGGGGUGGGUUCAGAAACUAUUAGCUGAAAUGGUGUUGUGAGUUGUCUGUGUACUUCUUUAUCUGUGUUAAUUCCCAUAGGACUGUCUGCUUCUAGCUGAGAUUUUCAGACCUGGGCAUUCAUAAGAAUCAUCUGGGAACUUUCUGAUGCAGGACUGAAGCCACCCCUAGGAGUCUGCAUUUUAAUAGCAAGUGAUUCAGAUGUAUAGACCACAUGUGGGAAAAGUGAUCUGAAUUCUACCUUUUGUCUCUUCCCCUCCUGGUCCUUCCUCUUCCUCCCCUCCUUCCCCAAACCCAGGACUUGAAAUAGAAGAAACCCUGCAAAUCCAAUGCUCCAAAGAUAAAAAGGAAUAGAACUCAGAGAACACCCUGUCCUGCCUGCCCCUGGAGAGACAGGCAGCAAAGCUGCGGUUUACCAAGUCCUGCUGGAGGGAGUAGAGAGUCGGCUUCCUCCUGGGCUCAGAGACUCCUGCAGAAUUAUUUCCAGAACCUUCCUCAGCCCAGCUGCCUGCACGCUACCAGUCCUCACAGUGGAAUUUGCUGUUCCUAUGACAACACUCCUGUCGGCUCCCUCCCCCAGCUCACCUACAUCCCUGUGACCUCAUGGAAAGGCACAUUCUCGGGCAUCCAGACCAGAUAAGGAGGGUUUUGCAGUCUCUCUGGAAGCAUGGUGGUUAAGAGCACAUGUUUUGGAGUCAACAUGCCUGAAUACUGCUGUUUGGUCAAGCCAUUUAAUCUCUCAUUGUCUCAGUUUCCUCAUCUGAAAACGGGUCGAUUGAUUCCAGAAGUUGAAAACUAACCCACCACGCUUACAUAAUUGUGACUCUGUGGGUAUGGUUAUCUCAGUGUGGCAACGCUACAUUACGCACCCCGUGGGUCCACUGUCACAAUGGAGAGGACCUUCGAAAAGGCGCGGAGGACAGCUGGUUGGGAAGGUGUUUGGUGCAUAGGAGGGCGCGGAACAUGAUGGGUUCCCACACUUGAGCAAAUGUGUCAUUUUUGCGGAUUCCUCACAGUUAAAACAACAAUCAAAUAAGGGCAGAGAUCAUGGAGCCCACCAUCCUAAAGGAACUAAACUGUUGCCAAAAUGGGAAGGUCCCCUGUGAUCCACCCAAAUAAAAUCUUCCCACCAGCCAGCCUACACGACCUCUAUAAUUAGCAAUUCGCUCCUUUGCAUUAAGCAAAGCCCUCAACGUGGUGUCGUCUAAUAUGCAAAUAUUUCUGGGAGGGCUGCCACACUAAGUGGCUGACAGCUAGGUGCCAUCCAGUCUUAUCAGAUAGCCGCUUUCCUGUGUGUCCGGAAGGGCGAGCCUGAGUUGGCUCUGAUAAGCAGGGCCCCAAGCAGAUGCUGUGGCCUGAGCCCGCCCUCCCUAGAAACCGGAGUGGGUGACGGCUGAGCUCCCCUCACGUUAUAGCUCCCACUCUCACCGGUGACCCAAGCAGCUCUCCCAGGCCUGGGAGGCUGGUGUCAGGUAGCAGUGGAGGAACCUGAGGUACCACCGUGGCUCCAGCUGUUCCACCUCCCAACCCAGGCCUGGGCCUCCACCUGCCCCGAGCCAGUGAGGGAAAGGAGGGGACAGAUAGAAAGAUAACCAGGGAAGAAGGCUGAGGCUCCCGGGUGGCUCCAGGGAAAACCUGAAGGGGCGUUGGAAAAGAAGUCAAGGGGGGGCCCUACCCGUCUCAAAACUCUGGGCUUGGCCUAAACUGAGGAACGCUCUUUCCACUCUCCGUUUUUCCGUCCUAGCUGGUGCAAGAAUGAUUUGCUUUGUGUCUGACUCCACCAUAUGCUGCAAGCUCCCUGAGGGCAGGGCCUGCCCCGUCUUGUCUCCACAUGUCUUAUCCCCAGCACAGUACGCAGCGGGUUGUGUGUGUGUCCAGCCAACGUGUGCUGACGGAAUGGAGCAUGAGCCCUAUGCUCUUUGGUUUGCAAAUGCCCUUCUCCCCAGCAGAUCUAGAACUUAUUUUUCACUGUCCUUGUGCAUCCGGGCAGUGUUAGCUCGUUACAUGUGGGUUGAAUCCAUUUGAAACGUUAAGAAUUAAAAGGUAAGGAUUGCCUCUUUGGCCAGUGCAAGGGUCUUCUGGGUUGCUUUAUGGCGUGCAUGUAGCAUAGUUUAUCAGACUUCUUGCAGCCCAAGGUUGCCUAUUAAGAGAAGGAGUGACCCACCUGCCAGGAAAAGUGGCUUUUUGGUGUCCAUUUGACAGUAUUUACAAUAUUCUUUAAAAAAAAAAAAUUUAGGGGCGCCUGGGUGGCUUGGUCGGUUGAGCGUCCGACUCCAGCUCAGGUCAUGAUCUCGCGGUCCGUGAGUUUGAGCCCCGCGUCGGGCUCUGGGCUGACAGCUCGGAGCCUGGAGCCUGUUUCAGAUUCUGUGCCUCCCUCUCUCUCUGCCCCUCCCCUGUUCAUGCUCUGUCUCUCUCUGUCUCAAAAAUAAAAAUUAAAAAAAAAAUUA
This is a long non-coding RNA of Acinonyx jubatus (cheetah), 2579 nucleotides long. RefSeq lists it as uncharacterized. NCBI's taxonomy places the organism in Eukaryota, Metazoa, Chordata, Mammalia, Carnivora, Felidae. The transcript has 3 exons. The record is from RefSeq and is a predicted model, not a curated record.